RNA transcript from Cephus cinctus (wheat stem sawfly), 4317 nucleotides. RefSeq lists it as uncharacterized. The record is from RefSeq and is a predicted model, not a curated record. Lineage: Eukaryota; Metazoa; Arthropoda; Insecta; Hymenoptera; Cephidae. The transcript has 8 exons.
ACUAUAUGGCUAGUCUGAAGUACCGCGAGAACUCUGUAGUAAACUCUGAUGUACCCAGUCUGGCGAUGCUCGUGCGUGCUGGAUAGAGUGCGUUUAUUUUCGUUCGUCCUGUAAUAUUAGACGUGAUGCAAAGCCCUAAGCCGAUCCGGCGCUCUUAAAUAGUAUAAGCCGCUUCUCGGAAACGAAAGUCGACGUGGUCCUAACUUUUCUAGCACCGUUGAAUGUGCGAAAAAUAUAGAACGAAGAACUUGCACGGGUUACAGAGACGUUUUGUUAUAGAAUUUUUAUACCAUCGCCAACCGCACUGACCGGAUCAUCAACGUCAAGCCUGGGAGGAAAAUUCCCAAAAAGUGAGUCACUUCUUCAAUGAAAAGGUGAAGUGAAGGUUUUCCGGUCGUUCCAACAGUCAGGAACCAAAAUGAAAAAGAAGAAGAAGAAGAAAACGAAGAAGCUUACAGACGACCAAGCCAGAUGUAUUUCUGGCCGAGAAGACUGACUUACGUUUUUUUACACAUCCCUGUCGCGCACCAAUGUACGAGUACUGGCAAGAGAGGGCUGGCUAUUCUCAUUCUUUCCGUUCCAUGUACUCUUCCCGUCUGCAGCUCUCAGGAAUGAAAAAGAAAAAAAAAACAAAAGCCACUGGUACGUUUGAGUGGCUUCGAAUGAUUCACAUUGCAGUUAUCAGAACUUCCUUAAAAGGUUAUCAACUUGCCUAGUGCGAGCAUACUAUCCAGACGACACUUAACCGCCAUCACUAUUGUAUAAUGCGAUUCAAUUCUGGAGCCAGUUACGCAAUCAACAAUAGUCUAUCAAUGCUCCCUUGCAAUUCUAUUCUUGAACAUAGACAGUGCACGGACACUAUGACUGGUAUACGGCUAAUACAAAGAGGCCUUCGAUCAGCAGGCUUUCUUGCUCAGUUCGCAAGCUCGUCGGUGGCGGCUACUGUAACGGAUGGCAUAUUUAAAAAUAGAAAGAGAAACCGCUUAUCAAGCGGCGUGUAUUGUUAUGGCGUUCCACUGCCACCAUCCAGCCCUUUGUAGUCCAUAUUCUAACAAUAGCAAGCUACUGUACAAGUCCCUAGUGCAUGUGCUUCUUACAGUAGAUGCCGUAUCGAGAUUCGAUACAGCAGAAGCGCCGGCCAUGUUUUCUUAACUCAGGAAUCGAGUGCAGCCACGCUAGGAAGAAUACGUGCCAAGAAAAUAAGCUGGAUAAGCGUUUCAUCCUGGAAAGCUGAUCUCCAUCGCAUCCUCCUACCAGGCUGCUCAAUAGACUUUCCCACUAAUGGCGAUCGAAUCGCGUCACGAGUACGCUCGUGCCGUGCAUACUACGAGGUCGACACCAGGUACAGACACGUUGAUAGAUAAAAACAGACAGUCGAUGGAAAAAGUAUUUGAACCGCUCAGCGGUGACGAGUUUCCGUUCAAGGAUUUCCGGUGUUCGACUAUUUUCUAAACGGGUUCUCUGGAUAUUCUCUGGGACGAGUUACGUAUCCUGGUGACAGUCAUUAUUUAUAGAUCGGGUAUACAGACAUUUCAAAUGUCUCUCAAAGAAAGGAACGACACUUCGUGAAUGAUUUCUGGUGUUGGCGUUGAUUAAUCUAUCUGAACAUUCCAAAACCACGGAGAAUACGUCGAGAGCUAUAGGAUACGACGCUAUUUGGCCGUCGACAAGUCUCUGGCGCCGAUUUAUCCUUGGAUCGUACGAAUUUCAAACUGGACAGUUGCUCAUUUACGUUUCCAUUCAAAUCACGUUUGAGUUAUUUUAUACGUAAUGGGUAUCCAACAGUCCACGUGAAUUAACCUAUACGUUAUAUGGUGCUCGCCGUGAAAUUACUAUAGCUUCCUUGGGAUUGUAUUGUGCUAACCUAGAAACCGCCUGGUGCAGGCUAAUCGUUUGUUAAUUAUAUGUCGGAUAAUUAGUACCGGAACUAGAAGUAUUAUCUACACGAGGAUCUCUAUAAAGUUCUAUAAAAUUGAGCGUGUGUGUAUUGUAGACUUUCUUACGUAUUCUAUAGUGAACAGUGUAUAUACCAUACAUAUGUAUAUAUAAAUUCUUUACGAAUCCCGUUGGUUUAUGAUAAGGCGUGGCGAGGAGUGUAAAUACGUUUUCGUAAUGCCAAGACCAUCUCUAGUUAGCCCGUUACAAUCCAUUAAUAUUCCACAGAGCGAAUUCCAAAAUCUUUAUUGAUCUACCAUCCACCUUGGCGUGUCAGAGUGAAAUUAGGUAUCGCUUUAAUUUUAAAAUCAAAACCUAUCCAUAACCAUAGUGGAAUAAGACUAUUUUAUUCGUGAGUAGAUAAAACUUGGUACAAUAAUCAAAGUCAGUAUAAAAGUUUGAAAGGAUCGUACGAUCUUGGAAUACUGUUCUACCCACAUUGGCACAAGAACACUGAACAGGUUAGGUCGACGAUUCGAUUCGCGAGGAAACGUUAAAAUAAGUGUGGGCUGUCAGACGCCAUAGAGACAGACGUAGAGGUCUUCUCUGUAGACCAGCGUUCAUGGCCAACGAAUAUACAACGUGGUGUAAAUGAGAACCGAUAACAGUGUCCAGUAUCGUAUUGAAUUUUAAAGCGAAGAAAAAUCGUAGGUAGAAGAUACCGUGGGACGUUGAGAUUUUAAAUUUGAAAUAUCAUUUACGUUUCAUCUGUGCACUUCCAAACAUUAAGGCGCUUAUGAACAUUGAUGAUCUUUUUCUAAAUUGUACAUUCAAAGCUAUGGUUUUACAUGCUUCUAAUAAUAUUUUCUAUGCAGCCUUUUUUUAAUUUUGAUAGAAGAUAACUUCACACCAUAAAUUCAACGUACUCAACUCGUAACGUUCUCAGUUUGGGACGGUGAUUUAACGUGGGCGAAUACCUACAACACCUUUCCUUCCUAGAUCUACCCACUGUCUAUACGCUAUGGUGUAUAUAUACGUAUUGCAUAUGUCAGACACGCAUAGAAUACGUGCAUAUGAUAAUGAUAAUGAUAUAUAUACAUACACAUAUUGAUGUAUGUGAUACUUUACGGAAAGACACGUUGAAAACACGUCAAAGUGUAACGGUGAUCAGAAAGUAAUUUUUAUCUUUACGUACACCUACGCCAGUGAAACGUAUACACGACUGGAAAUUCAGGUCGCUAAUAAUUGCUGUUCUUAUAUGCAUAUGAGGAUAUAUGAUAAACUGAUUUUUUAGACCGAGUAAAUUAUAAAGCUCUGUAUACUUGACAGUCGAUUACACGACUGUGUAUCUUUUGUAGCAUACUAGGAUAAAAAUAGGAUAGGAGUCAGUUACAAAUAAGAUAUUAGAAUACAAAGAGAGCUUCGCUAUGUCUGACGGAACUGACAUCUGCCUACUGUAUCUUUAAGUAUUUUGUAAGAGAAUUUGUAUUAUUGCAUGAGCCUAAAGCGUGGGCAUUGCUUAUUGUAUGUGGGUGUAAAAAGAUUGUGCAAGGAUUGCUUGAUUAACGUUUACCUGUAAUGUUCAGUGGUUGGAUAUAAGUUUUGUUAAUGGCAGUACAAGUGUCUACGAUAAAGUCUGUGUAGAGAUACUGUAGGUUGAGGACGGUUGAGUGGGCUAAAAUUAUUAUUAAUUACGUAUAUAAUUAAUAGUAAUUAGGUAUAGUGACUUUAUUCUAUUACAGUUAGUUGUCUUGUAUGAUCCUAGAUGUCCCCUGGCACACUGUUUAGAAGAAAAUAGAAAAAUGAUUCUUCUAACAUAGUAUUAGAAUAGCCUGUGUAUAAUCAGGUCGUGUCACCUUUUUACUUUAGACUGAGGAACAUAUUUUGUAUGAGCUUUCGCAAUUUCCUGGAUGCGCUUCCCGUGGGUAUAUGUAACGUGUGCCUACAGCCAGGAACCCUGUACGCUUAGGGUUGACCUUAAUAACCUCGUUAGUUACUCCGGCGAUCAAUUAAUUAUCGCCUAAUUGGUGUUAAAACUCCGCUAUCGUCCUGAUAGGGCGCGUACUUUAUGUUGAGGUUCUCAUUUUGGUGGACAAGGGUCUUCUCUGAAGUGAGAGACGAAAAGGAUGGAUGAAGAGAGCUACGAGCGAGAUCAUCCGCAGGGAAAUUCGGAAUAGAGAAAUUCUGCCGUGGUUGGUGCUCCUGGUGUCGGUUCACUCGGGUGACUUCGGCCACUGUCGUUCGUAUUCGCUCGGCUAAGAAUACCGCAGCCAGCCAUAUUUGGCAAUGAGACCGCGUGGCACGAAGCCGGCGGGAAUCCAUUGCCAGUGGGAAUAGAAUGGAGGCAAUGAAAACUUCAAACUUCUUCGAUGCCGCAUCCCUGACUAGUGUAAGAGAGAGAGAGAGAGAGAGAGAGAGAGAGCAAGAGAGAAGAACAUUAAG